AACGCAACCGCCCUCCACAACUCGGGCAAAAUGGAACUCAUGGCCCAUUCUUCCGCCUUCCUCCUUCCCACGAUCUCCGGCGACCACCGCCCUUCUUUUACCUACGUCCUCGUCGUGCUUAACCAGCGACUUCCGCGGUUCAUUCCUCUCCUCUGGAAGCACUCACGACUACGCGUCUGUGCAGAUGGAGGUGCCAACCGAGUCUACGAUGAAAUGCCUUUUUUGUUCCCGCACGAAGAGGCUCUUGAUGUUCGACACAGGUACAAGCCUGAUGUAAUUGAGGGAGACAUGGAUUCAAUCCGAAUGGAAGUACGGGAUUUUUAUACCAGCCUGGGAACCAAGGUGGUUGAUGAAUCUAAUGAUCAGGACACCACAGAUCUACAUAAGUGCAUUUCAUAUAUUCGUGACUUCACUCCAGACUUGGACAAGUCUAAUCUUUGCGUUCUUGUAGCUGGAGCACUUGGGGGACGAUUUGACCAUGAGGCUGGAAACAUUAAUGUUCUGUAUCGGUUCUCAACCAUGCGAAUAAUUCUUAUAUCUAAUGAUUGCCUCAUCUACCUCCUUCCAAGGUCUCACUAUCAUGAGAUUUAUAUCCAAUCUUCUGUUGAGGGUCCACAUUGUGGACUCAUUCCCAUAGGGAUGCCAUCUGGAAAUACCACAACAACUGGACUCCAAUGGGAUCUCAAUGACAUGGAGAUGAGGUUUGGUGGUCUAGUAAGUACGUCUAACAUAGUCAGAGGAGAAAAGGUAACAGUACAAUCAAGUUCGGAUCUUCUUUGGACGAUUUCCAUUAAGAAGACUUGAUACCCACUGCUUCAGAUAGUCUGUAAGUUCUCCUAACGUACACUGAAAUGGCCUUUUCAAUAAAUAAAGCGCAUUUUAGAUUGUUCUUAUGUGCCAAUAAAUUUUGUUGUUCGGAAAAAAUUAUUGGCAGUAGCAACAUUUCUUCUAACCGUUUGUUUCUUUAAGUCAGUUUAGGUCUAUUGUUCCUCUCUCC
RNAcentral lists this unclassified non-coding RNA (997 nucleotides) under Hevea brasiliensis (rubber tree). Lineage: Eukaryota; Viridiplantae; Streptophyta; Magnoliopsida; Malpighiales; Euphorbiaceae. The record is from RNAcentral.